RNAcentral lists this transfer-messenger RNA (342 nucleotides) under Leptotrichiaceae. RNAcentral describes it as "Sebaldella sp018058425 Standard tmRNA". It matches the Rfam family "transfer-messenger RNA". From Rfam's summary of the family: Bacterial tmRNA, also known as 10Sa RNA or SsrA, is named for its dual tRNA and mRNA-like properties. Its role is to liberate the mRNA from a stalled ribosome. Lineage: Bacteria; Fusobacteriati; Fusobacteriota; Fusobacteriia; Fusobacteriales. RNAcentral also lists the same sequence under 1 other name. The record is from RNAcentral.
GGGAGUGUUUAGGUUUCGACAGGGUAAAAUGGUUAUUACUGGCAAGUAAGCGGGAGCUUUAAAAUCCAACUUAAAUUAAUCGGAAACGAUAAUAAUUACGCAUUAGCUGCCUAGUUGCAGCUACAUCCUAAUUGGAGUUGCUGUUACUCUUUUUAACGAUGUCACUCUUAAUAGCUUACUCUUUUAGAUGUCUAUAAUAAAAGAGGAAAACUUUUUAGACUCGCUUUGUGACUUUUGUUUGUUUAAUAUCAUGAAGUUAAAAAUGUUAAAUAGACUAAACUUGUAGAUGGUAGUAAUUUGCUUUUACUUUGGACACGGGUUCGAUUCCCGUCACUUCCACCA